GUGAAUCAUCGAAUCUUUGAACGCACAUUGCGCCCGCCAGUAUUCUGGCGGGCAUGCCUGUCCGAGCGUCAUUU
Molecule: ribosomal RNA, 74 nt
Filed under: Trichoderma dorotheae
Lineage: Eukaryota; Fungi; Ascomycota; Sordariomycetes; Hypocreales; Hypocreaceae
Also listed under: 2 other names
Description: 5.8S ribosomal RNA
Rfam family: 5.8S ribosomal RNA
About the family: 5.8S ribosomal RNA (5.8S rRNA) is a component of the large subunit of the eukaryotic ribosome.
Source: RNAcentral